UGUGUGCAGGAGAGGAGUCGAGCAGAGAGAGCUGCUUUUUCAUGAAACGGGAGUAAAGUAGUGAACUUAGAGGAGAGAAACAAACUAAAGUAUCGAUCAUAAACCACUACCAACGUCCUGAUCGAUAUCUGCAUCGAUCUGCCCACCCUUGUCUCCUGGAUCGUAGCUGAGAUCAGCGUGAACCACGUGGGUCUCUGCUCCCUGAUCUGUUUCCUGUGUUUGGAAAGAGUUGCAGCUUCAUCGCGGAGUUUCUCUCGGUUUGUGGGCUCAUCUAAAGGGAUAAAAUACAUAUCUAUACUUUUGUGUCCCAGCUGAGUAACAGGAGGAGAAGAGUCUGGUGGAGCAGCAGAGGAACAGUUUCAGCCAUUUGGGCUCAGCUCAGCCACUACAGAGGAAACGAUGACUUCAACACAGGAGGACCAACAUGGAGCGAGAAGUCAGCGCUCUCAGGAGGCCG
Non-coding RNA from Maylandia zebra (zebra mbuna), 457 nucleotides. NCBI's taxonomy places the organism in Eukaryota, Metazoa, Chordata, Actinopteri, Cichliformes, Cichlidae. The record is from RefSeq and is a predicted model, not a curated record.